RNAcentral lists this long non-coding RNA (329 nucleotides) under Equus caballus (horse). Its description in RNAcentral is "lncRNA (ENSECAG00000058666.1)". Lineage: Eukaryota; Metazoa; Chordata; Mammalia; Perissodactyla; Equidae. The record is from RNAcentral.
CUGCCUCUGACUCAACUUUUACCACCCAGGCAUCCUACACUCAAUCUGCCGAACUAUAGUCUACUUUUUAACCAGGAUUAAAGGUUUCCUUCCUGGUUCUGCUGAAGCUGACUGGCUGGAGUCACAUGCACACCUCUGCUGCUGUCCAUUGAGUUCUCUGGGGCUGGGUUUGGCCGACUGAGCUGCUGCGUCCAGGAUCUAGGAUCCUAGGCUCUGCCUCUGCUGUUCCCCUGUUUACCCUCCUCUAUGUGCUCCAAUUCGGACACUUUUUAUUACAUAGAAUACAGGUGGUGGAAAUGAGCAUCCUUGCCUUGUACUGGAUCUUAAAG